AAAAAAUACAAAAUAAUAGGUUAUAUAAUAAUGAUAAUCAAUUAAGCAUAUUACAUUUUGAUUUUUUCUAAAAUAAUAUAGCCCCGCGGUAUACCGCAGGUUAAAAUCUAGUGUUCAUUAAAAGUUAAAAGGCUAUAAAUAAAAAUAGACUACAUAAUGGGUAGAAUUAAAAAAUGAUAGUCUUGGAAAGACAUUCCUAACAAUUUGUCUAAUUU
This 215-nucleotide small RNA is filed under the name Arabidopsis thaliana (thale cress). RNAcentral describes it as "ATSL172800". Lineage: Eukaryota; Viridiplantae; Streptophyta; Magnoliopsida; Brassicales; Brassicaceae. The record is from RNAcentral.